GGGGAAUAUUGGACAAUGGGCGCAAGCCUGAUCCAGCAAUGCCGCGUGGAUGAAGAAGGUUUUCGGAUUGUAAAGUCCUUUCGGCGGGGACGAUGAUGACGGUACCCGCAGAAGAAGCCCCGGCUAACUUCGUGCCAGCAGCCGCGGUAAUACGAAGGGGGCUAGCGUUGCUCGGAAUGACUGGGCGUAAAGGGCGCGUAGGCGGAUUGUCUUGUCGGGCGUGAAAUUCCAGGGCUCAACCUUGGGUGGUCGUUCGAGACGGGCAGUCUAGAGUUUGGCAGAGGGUCGUGGAAUUCCCAGUGUAGAGGUGAAAUUCGUAGAUAUUGGGAAGAACACCGGUGGCGAAGGCGGCGACCUGGUCCUUGACUGACGCUGAGGCGCGAAAGCGUGGGGAGCAAAC
RNAcentral lists this ribosomal RNA (400 nucleotides) under uncultured bacterium. RNAcentral's name for it is "bacterial SSU rRNA". It matches the Rfam family "Bacterial small subunit ribosomal RNA", at positions 356 to 773 of the family's 1533-position model. The record is from RNAcentral.